AUACGUAGGGGGCGAGCGUUGUCCGGAAUGAUUGGGCGUAAAGGGCGCGUAGGCGGCCCGGUAAGUCUGGAGUGAAAGUCCUGUUUUUAAGAUGGGAAUUGCUUUGGAUACUGUCGGGCUUGAGUGCAGGAGAGGUAAGUGGAAUUCCCAGUGUAGCGGUGAAAUGCGUAGAGAUUGGGAGGAACACCAGUGGCGAAGGCGACUUACUGGACUGUAACUGACGCUGAGGCGCGAAAGUGUGGGGAGCAAACAGGAUUAGAUACCCUGGUAGUCCACACUGUAAACGAUGAGUGCUAGGUGUAGGGGGUAUCGACCCCUUCUGUGCCGCAGUCAACACAAUAAGCAUUCCGCCUGGGGAGUACGGCCGCAAGGUUGAAACUCAAAUGAAUUGACGGGG
Molecule: ribosomal RNA, 397 nt
Filed under: uncultured bacterium
Lineage: Bacteria
Description: partial 16S ribosomal RNA
Rfam family: Bacterial small subunit ribosomal RNA
Source: RNAcentral